Molecule: long non-coding RNA, 2069 nt
Filed under: Laticauda laticaudata (blue-ringed sea krait)
Lineage: Eukaryota; Metazoa; Chordata; Lepidosauria; Squamata; Elapidae
Description: lncRNA (ENSLLTG00000015256.1)
Source: RNAcentral
CCAGCCCGUCCCCGAGGAUGAAAAGUCAAGCGGAGCGGCAGUCUGGGGAGCGGAGCAUCGCGGGGGCACUCCCGAUCUUUCGGGGCCGCUUUUGGGCACUGCCACUCAAGGGGUACCCCCCUUCCUCAAUCUGGACUCGAGAGCGCCGGCUCUCCUUUCUUUUGCCGUCUCCUCCUCCUCCUCCUCCUCCUCCUCGGGCGUCACGUGUGAACGCGCGCCCUCUUUCCCGCUCGCUCUCGGCUUCCUGCUCUCUCCGAGGCGAUCCGGAGCCAGGCGCUCGGCACAAAAAGCGACCCAGCCGCCAGCUUCUCCCCCAAUAGCUCAGCCUCUCCCGCUGACAUCACUCGGCGGGAGGAGGAGGAGGAGGAGGAAGGGUGGGGUGAGCGGGAGAAGAGCCUGCGAAAGAGCCGAAGCCGCCCGGGCAGCCGCGACGUCCAGCUCGAGGGUCGCCCAUCCCGUCCCAGCAGGGGAAGCCAGGACGCCCUUCGCUCGCUCGGCCGGCGGUGCCGGCGUCCUUCUGCCUUUCCAGCCUUUGCUUGCCGCGGGAAAGGACCAAGGGGGUCAGCCUGUCUAUAAGCGAGAGAGGAAUCUCUGCUCACAGCCCGAUGGCCAAGCACGGAGGGCUUCGGAGAGAACAUUUAUGUCCAGCAUGGCGGGUUGGUUCCACUUGUGCCAGUACGCCUUUGGAAGUUUCUGUUGCAGUGAAAUGUGAGUUCACAGGUGGCAUGGCAACAGGGAGAGGGCAAAAUGCUUGCCUGUCUGCAUAUACGGUUCAAUUAGUUUUCUUCCGGAAACUCACAGGCACAGUUCACCUUGGAUAUUAAAAGGAUAACUCAAAUUUGAAGGAUACAGCAAGAUUCUUCCCACCCCAAGUCCACUCUCUGCCUUUCAAAGGGUUUUAGAAACACCGCAUAGCUAGAUAUUCUUCUGGGAAGCCAACACUGACCCUUGGCCAAUCGUCCCCAGAAGAGAGGAGUUGAGGUGGAGGGAAAUGGCUCCUCUGCCACCAGGAAGGGGCCUUUUGGUGCUGAAGAUCCUUGGCUGUCAUCCACAGUGCCUCUGAAGGUGUUAACCAGCCCUGCUCAUCAGGGAACCCAGUGGCAGAAAUUCUCCCGUGCAACAGGAAUCGGGCCCACACCUGGACCAGGCUUGGAUUGCACCUUCAUCUGGAGAGCAAACCCUGGCUGGGCGAGGGCCUUGCCGUCUGUGGGGGUCUCCAGGGUUUUGGACUUAAUGGGAAAGGGAACAGGUUUAAGGGAGAGAAAGAAAGGGAGGGGGUCAGGGAGAGUUGGAAAGGCACAUCUUGCUUAGCAGUUGCCAUGGCAAUUUCUCUUGCUCCUGAAAACUCAAGCUGGAUGGCUUUCAUUCAUUCCCCCCCCCCCAACACUCUGCUCCCCUCCCCGUUUGCUCCGCCAAGUUACAGGCAUUCCUAACUGCUGGGCACGCUCUGUCCGUUCUGUUCCUGGGAGUGCGGCUGCCAGUUUCCAUCCUUGGCUCAAAGCUGCUCUUCUGAGCUGCCAAAGAAGGGCCAGGAGGCCAAGAGGUGGGCGCAGUUGCCCCUGUGCUUGGGUGCAAGGCCUUGGGCCCAGAGCAGGGUGCUAUCCUCUUCCCACCUUCCCCGUCCCUGGUCACCACCUUAGAGCCGCUCAUAUCUGACUCAUUUCAUCGCAGCCUCUUCUGUUACCUUCUGCAUUCACAAAGCUUUUGUUGCAGAGCUUGUCAUCCUCCCCCCACCCAGCUGAGACUGCUUUUGCCACUGGCUGGCUGCAUGGCUGUCCUUGCUAACCACAUCCUUGCUUUGCAACAUGGGCUUUAAUCUUCAGCUCCACAAUGGCUCUUAGCUGCAACCCUCAACUUUUCUGAGGAUCACACGGCCAGCAGCUGAGGAGCCAGAGGGCCAUUUAUGGAUGGAAAAAUCUCCCUGCUCCACUUUUUCCCACGAACAGUUCAGAGUUCAAUGAUGGAGACAUCAUCAAGCUAAAAAGGGACCAACCCAUUAAGAGACGGCCUUCCAUUCUCCUAAAAUUUGCCCUCCCCGCUUGGCUCUCCUACCUCACCUGCAGCUUUGG